Molecule: ribosomal RNA, 258 nt
Filed under: uncultured bacterium
Lineage: Bacteria
Description: partial 16S ribosomal RNA
Rfam family: Bacterial small subunit ribosomal RNA
Source: RNAcentral
GAUUCUGGCUCAGGACGAACGCUGGCGGCGUGCCUAACACAUGCAAGUCGAGCGGAGACAGUGAGUAGCUUGCUAUGAACUGUUUUAGCGGCGGACGGGUGAGUAACGCGUGAGCAACCUUUCCCAGACAGGGGAAUAACACACCGAAAGGUGUACUAAUACCGCAUAAGACCACGGUUUCACAUGGAACUGAGGUAAAAGAUUUAUCGGUUUGGGGUGGGCUCGCGUCCGAUUAGGUAGUUGGUGAGGUAACGGCCC